Molecule: ribosomal RNA, 253 nt
Filed under: uncultured bacterium
Lineage: Bacteria
Description: partial 16S ribosomal RNA
Rfam family: Bacterial small subunit ribosomal RNA
Source: RNAcentral
UACGUAGGUGGCAAGCGUUGUCCGGAUUUAUUGGGCGUAAAGCGCGUGCAGGCGGCUGGCUCAGUCCGGUGUGAAAUCUCUCGGCUCAACCGGGAGGGGUCAUUGGAUACUGGUCGGCUCGAGGGAGGUAGAGGAGUGUGGAAUUCCCGGUGUAGUGGUGGAAUGCGUAGAUAUCGGGAGGAACACCAGCGGCGAAGGCGGCACUCUGGGCCUUUCCUGACGCUGAGGCGCGAAAGCGUGGGGAGCGAACCGG